RNAcentral lists this transfer RNA (72 nucleotides) under Ailuropoda melanoleuca (giant panda). It matches the Rfam family "tRNA". Rfam says of the family: Transfer RNA (tRNA) molecules are approximately 80 nucleotides in length. Their secondary structure includes four short double-helical elements and three loops (D, anti-codon, and T loops). The record is from Rfam by way of RNAcentral. Lineage: Eukaryota; Metazoa; Chordata; Mammalia; Carnivora; Ursidae.
GCCUAGCUGGCUUAGUUGGAGAGCAUGUGACUCUUGAUCUUGGGGUUAUGGUUUCAAGCCCGAUGUUGGGUA